RNAcentral lists this ribosomal RNA (690 nucleotides) under Triticum aestivum (bread wheat). RNAcentral describes it as "partial small subunit ribosomal RNA". Lineage: Eukaryota; Viridiplantae; Streptophyta; Magnoliopsida; Poales; Poaceae. The record is from RNAcentral.
AUGGCAAAAUAUUGGUGGGGUAGUUCUCUUGAUAAGAGAUCCUUACAUUGGCUGUCUUGGGAUAAGUUAACUGAGCCUAAGAUCAAAGGAGGGAUGGGUUUCAGAGAUCCUCACCUAUUCAACUUGGCCAUGUUGGGCAAACAGGGAUGGCGCCUGUUAACACAUCCCGAUACUUUGUGUGCCCGAGUUCUGAAGGGCAAGUACUACCCACACACUGAUUUCUUGCAAGCAACAGCGCCUGCUCGUGCUUCGUCGACGUGGAAGGCGAUCGUGGCUGGUAGGAAAGCCUUGGAUAUUGGUCUGAUUCAUAGAGUUGGCGACGGCUCGUCAAUUUCCACAUGGAAUGAUCAAUGGAUUCCAAAUACAUCGACCCUGAAACCUGCUGGCCGGUUGGGUACUGCAGCUCUACCACGGGUUUCUGACUUGAUCGAUGAAUACACAGGUAAUUGCAACGUGGAGUUAGUCCGUCAAAAUUUUCUUCACCAUGAUGCCGAAGCUAUUUUGAAUAUUCCCACUAGUAGAAAAAGAGGCUUCCAUACGCCCCCAUUAGUCCGCAAAAUAAUCGAACCGCGACUAAAGGGGUCUUUAGUCGCGGUUCGGGAGGAGGCCCGCGACCAACUAUCUGGGCCCAGCGCGCGCUGGCGGACGGGAGGGGCUUUAGUCCCGGUUGGCCUGGCCAACCGGGACUAA